GGCCAGCAGCCGCGGUAAUACAGAGACUGCAAGCGUUAUUCGGAUUCACUGGGCGUAAAGGGUGCGCAGGCGGCCGUGUGUGUUAGGUGUGAAAGCCCGGGGCUUAACCUCGGAAUUGCGCCUAAAACUACACGGCUAGAGCAUUGGAGAGGGUAGCGGAAUUCACGGUGUAGCAGUGAAAUGCGUAGAUAUCGUGAGGAACACCAGAGGCGAAGGCGGCUACCUGGACAAUUGCUGACGCUCAGGCACGAAAGCGUGGGGAGCAAAAGGGAUUAGAUACCCCUGUAGUCCACGCCCUAAACGGUGCACACUAGGUCUUAGCGGAUUCGAUCCCGCUAGGGCCCAAGCUAACGCGUUAAGUGUGCCGCCUGAGGACUACGGUCGCAAGACUAAAACUUAAAGGAAUUGGCGGGGGAC
Molecule: ribosomal RNA, 417 nt
Filed under: uncultured bacterium
Lineage: Bacteria
Description: bacterial SSU rRNA
Rfam family: Bacterial small subunit ribosomal RNA
Source: RNAcentral